RNAcentral lists this transfer RNA (68 nucleotides) under Chimarra sadayu. RNAcentral's name for it is "tRNA-Ile". Lineage: Eukaryota; Metazoa; Arthropoda; Insecta; Trichoptera; Philopotamidae. The record is from RNAcentral.
AAUAAAGUGCCUGAUAAAAGGAUUAUUCUGAUAGAAUAAAUUAUAUAUUCUUAAAAAUAUCUUUAUUU